CUUUUAUUACAGUCUUUGGCUAUCAAUGGUCCUUUUGCCUUUCCCUUAGGGAACAGGAAAGACAGAGACUGACAUGAAUCAGUGUAACAUUUAAACCACAGUGCUAGCUAGCAUGACUGUGAUAGCCAUCUCGACGUGAUGUCAUAAGUAGCUGGUGUUGCCAUGGCAACACUACAAUGGUAAACAAAGAUGUUUUCUGGAUGGCUAGAGUAAAGGUGGCUUUUAUGCUGUCUCACACCCUCCUGCCCCUGACCCCCUACCAUGGAUAGGAAAGAUUUUCUUUUCUUUUGCUAUGCAUUUUUCACCUUCAGAUGAAAUAAGCGAGACACAGAUGUCUAGAAACAACGAAUAUCACCAAGUCCAAGUCGCUUUCUUUCCUAUGAGGACACUAAGACUCAGAGGAAUGAAGUAAGUUUAGGAAGACUGCACAGAGUGGAUUAAAGCACCAAGCUCCUGAGAGUCAUUCAGAGUUUUGCUGUGAGUUUCUUUCUCUUGCUGUUGUUUAUUUGAUCGGUUAAAAGGAAAGUUGGUUGAGUUAAUAAAAUUUUAAUUCCUGGAAAGAUUUGCGUAAGUCUUGCUUUUUUCCUGAGUUAUUGCCUUGCAGGCUAGCUGUAUUUUAGCAUUGAUUAUCUGCAUUAAGAAACUACAUAUAUCCUGCUUUUGGAGCAAAGUUCUAUAAGGAAGAUGACACAUCUCCAUGAUGUCAUCUGUUCCUGAUAGGGUUUUCUAAAGGCUUUUGCUGAAGGAAACAAUAAUAUUCAGUUGGGUGUCCCCAUUUCCUCUUUUUGUUUUAUUCUGUGCAGCUGUGUUGGAAGCAAGCAGAGGAAGUAACCAAAAGUGGAUCUGGAUUAGAACGAUUCUCGAACUUCCCUUUCCAACAUCUGUCUUGCUAUGGGGCAAGUCAGAGAGGAGGCGGCCUCACAAACAGCCCUUUGUCAGAGCUAACAGCAUGUUUUUCUUGUGAGAAAUGCCCUUUUCCCUAAUGUGAGGUUUGAAAACUGUUGCUUAUCAAAAGUGGAAGUGUUUGACCCUCAUUGGUGUGCACUAGUGGUGGUAAUGUCACCAGUUCCUCAAAGUGAAGGCAGAUGUUUGCAGUAAGAAGUCAACACUGAACAAAAGAUUUUUAAGAUCACAUAAAAAUAUCAUUAAUAAAAGAUUAUUUUUUUUAAAAGAAAGAAACAAAAAGCCCAGGCUUGUUUUUCAGGCUUCAAUGAGAGCUGUCUAUAGAACUCCACAGGAUGUUUCUCGCAGGCUUUUCCAUCUUGAUGAUUCCAUCAUGGUAUUUCUUUAAAAUUACGGUGAUUCAAUAAAGUUUCUUUGGUUAUUUUGCUGCUUAAAUGUUAUUAGAAGAUGACAACAUCUUGGGAUAUUAGGUUGAAUUUUAAUCAAUGGUCUACAGUUUUACAAUUCUGCUUUUGUAAAUAUCACAGCAUUUUCCCGAUAUUUAGUUUGAUUUCUUAUAGUGACUUUGUUCAACUUGGAUUAGCCAGAGAUGACUCCCACAUUUUAGGAUGCUAGUUGUGGACUUUUGCCUUCAUCCCCUCUGACUUCUUACUCUGAACUACUGCUUAGCCAGGAAAAACUGUGUUUUUUAUUGUUUUGUUUUUAAUCCUUGGCCUUGUUGUCUUUGGGCAGAUUCUGUAGCUGAACCACUCCCCACCAGACCCACAUACAUAGACAUGCCCGCCCUGAGGGAGGUUUCUACUUCAGGGUGAUACAGUCUUAACCUGUGGCAAGUCCUCCAACUUGAGAUGUCUGGGUUAUUAGUCCUGCAAUCGCUUUAGUCAAUGAAGGUUCCCACGAUCUGUGUCAGGGCCUAGUGGUUAGUAUUGUAUUAGCCUCGCUGUGAGUGACUUGCUGAAAUGUGCACCAGUGCCUUUGACCUCCCAGAUCACAUGAAGGAAGGGAAGGAGAAGCUCUGUGACUAUGUGAUUCCCAUAGAAUUUUGCUUGUUCUGUCUCUGGAGCACUAUAAGACAAAUGCUACUCACUUCUUUUAAGAAAUCCCAGCUGCAGAAGGAGUUGCUGACCACAACAGAGGCUGUUGCCAAAACACUCUAUUGGAGUUGUUGCUGUGGCCCAGAAAUAGUUGCAAAUAAGCAGAAGUUUUCAGGAAAAAAAAAAAAAGGAAAAUUAAAGCUCAUGAAAGCAUUUUAAGAUAAAAGGAGUUUUAUCUAUGGCUAUGUCUGUAUAAACACAGUUUGUGGGUUGAAGGACCAAGUCUGUGCCAGUGCUCAUAUUGUGCUAUUGCUCUUUUAUUCUAGCUGAGUUAGGGAGAUAUUUCCCUUGGCUUAGAUGACAUCAGUCUCAAUGGGUGGCUCUGUAAAAUAUUAUUUUAAAAACCCACAUAUUGUAAAAGAGUAAACUAUGGUUAAUAAUUUUGUUACUUUGCUCAGAGAAGGUAACUUUAGAUAUCAUAGCUGUGGGCAUAAUGUACAGGUUGUUCUCUUGUUUUUGGUCCAUCCCAUGAUGCUAUGUUUCUGUGUCUUUGGGAAAAUUCCUUCACAUCCAUUAUUUUCAGUUUACUGUUACUCUAAACAUGUCAUUAAUCUCAGGCUGUGGAUGGCAUAUGGCAAUAGGGAUGGAAAAAGCAUAUGGCUGUAUGUAUCAGUAUAUUGCUUCAAGAUGCAGGCAUGACCCUGGGGUGAUGACACUCAUGAAGAUCAGGAUGAAGAGCUUCCUUCACAGAAUGAGUGAUAAUAGAGAGAAGUUUUUGAUGAAUGACCAUUUGGAGACUUUUAGGGAAUCAAUAAAUAACACUCCUUAUUUUCCUCUCCUGAGCUUGGAACCUAUUGAAAAAUAAGAUAGAAGCCAAAUGAAAAGAGAUGAAAAUAAUAGUUUCAUUAUGGAUAAAAGCUGCAUCAGGGAAUGCAAUUUAAUAUGUGGCCAAAUGGGCAUCUAACAUCUUCUUUACCCUCCAUCAAAUUUAAUCUAGUGCUCAAAACUGCUGGCAUUUUUCUUACAGGGAUGCGGAUGGCCCACAUAGUUGAGAACAGCAUGUAAUACCCUCUGUCUACAGGCAGCCAUCUCUCUGUGUUAGGGAGCUCAGCCCACAAGAGGCUUCCCCUAAACUUACAUUAUACUGACUCACUCAUCCUCCCAUAGCAAAGUAUGGUAAAGGAAUGAGGAGAGAGGCCAAGGGAGAGAGUAGGAAGUCUCUCAUAGAAAUAUGAGGCAAGAGAAGUUGAGACCUCCUUUAACAUCCUUAAGUUGCAAAAAGAGAGAGGAGAGUGUUAAUCAUAAUCGGUGAAGAGAGAGAAAGGUCAGCACCUUAGGAGUGGGGCAGACAAUGAGCCUACUGAGUAAAGAGGUUAAAAGUAGGGGAGAACAAGAACAUAUGGAGAGUAGACGCUAGCGUUUACGGCCACUUUUGCUAGUUCAGGUGGACAGAUGAGAGGCUAAACAGCACAUUUGACAGAUUUAAAGGGCUAAGAGUAGAAAGAGUCCAAGUUCUGUUGAGAGGCAAAUCCUGGUGGGUCUUGCUUUCCUGGGGUUGGCACCCCAAAGGGCUGCACUCUAGGAGAAAGUGUAAACUAAGAGUCAACAGAUUCUCACAGGCACUGCAGCUCAUUUUAGGAUCCUCUUAAUCCUUAUAGUUGAACUGAGGUAAUCCCAGAUUGCUGGUACUCACAAGCACCUGAUAAACAUGAACACAAGUACUUCCCAAUGGAAGAUAACAACAUCCUCGUCCUUACUUUAUUUCUACAAACAGUAUUACAAAUAAAAUAUUUGGCACAUAAUAAAAAAAAUCCAUAGACAUGAAGAGACAAGAUAAACAUCAAUAGGAAUAAAUGGAAAUAUCAGACAAUAGAAAUCAAUCUAUGGUGGUUCAUUUGCUUUUGUUCUGUUCCGUGAUGCAAUAUCUCUGUGUCUGAGAAAAUUCCCUCACAUCCAUAUUUUCCAGAUAUUGGGGUUAUCUGACAUAGACAUUUAAAAUAACUAUAUUUUCUGUUUUUUAAGGAAAAAAGAGACAAGAUUGAGAAUUUUG
This 3987-nucleotide long non-coding RNA is filed under the name Equus caballus (horse). Its description in RNAcentral is "lncRNA (ENSECAG00000044881.1)". Lineage: Eukaryota; Metazoa; Chordata; Mammalia; Perissodactyla; Equidae. The record is from RNAcentral.